This 305-nucleotide ribosomal RNA is filed under the name uncultured bacterium. RNAcentral describes it as "bacterial SSU rRNA". It matches the Rfam family "Bacterial small subunit ribosomal RNA", at positions 337 to 634 of the family's 1533-position model. The record is from RNAcentral.
CCCUACGGGGGGCAGCAGUAGGGAAUCUUCCACAAUGGGCGAAAGCCUGAUGGAGCAACGCCGCGUGGGUGCCUCCGUUCUUCUUCUCGUACCCCCCUGUUGUUAGAUCCUCCCGUGCGUUAGAGUAACUGUUCACGUUUCGACGGUAUCUAACCAGAAAGCCACGGCUAACUACGUGCCAGCAGCCUCGGUAAUACGUAGGUGGCAAUCUUUAUCCGGCUUUAUUGGGCGUAAAGGGAACGCAGGCGGUCUUUUAAGUCUGAUGUGAAAGCCUUCGGCUUAACCUGAGUAGUGCAUUGGAAACU